RNAcentral lists this ribosomal RNA (354 nucleotides) under uncultured Acidovorax sp. Its description in RNAcentral is "bacterial SSU rRNA". It matches the Rfam family "Bacterial small subunit ribosomal RNA", at positions 1026 to 1382 of the family's 1533-position model. Lineage: Bacteria; Pseudomonadati; Pseudomonadota; Betaproteobacteria; Burkholderiales; Comamonadaceae. The record is from RNAcentral.
ACAGGGUGACAGGUGGUGCAUGGUUGUCGUCAGCUCGUGUCGUGAGAUGUUCGGGUUAAGUCCCGCAACGAGCGCAACCCUCGACCUUAGUUGCCAGCAUUCAGUUGGGCACUCUAAGGUGACUGCCGGCUAAAAGUCGGAGGAAGUGGGGAUGACGUCAAGUCCUCAUGGCCCUUAUAGUGGGGCUACACACGUCAUACAAUGGAUGGUACAAAGGGUCGCCAACCCGCGAGGGGGAGCCAAUCCCAUAAAGCCAUUCGUAGUCCGGAUCGCAGUCUGCAACUCGACUGCGUGAAGUCGGAAUCGCUAGUAAUCGUGGAUCAGAAUGUCACGGUGAAUACGUUCCCGGGUCUU